ANUGGGGGAACCCUGAUGCAGCGACGCCGCGCUGGAGGAAGAAGGUCUUCCCGAUUGUAAACUCCUGUUGUUGAGGAAGAUAAUGACGGUACUCAACAAGGAAGUGACGGCUAACUACNUGCCAGCAGCCGCGGUAAAACGUAGGUCACAAGCGUUGUUCGGAAUUACUGGGUGUAAAGGGAGCGCAGGCGGGAAAACAAGUUGGAAGUGAAAUCCAUGGGCUNAACCCAUGAACUGCUUUCAAAACUGUUUUUCUUGAGUAGUGCAGAGGUAGGCGGAAUUCCCGGUGUAGCGGUGGAAUGCGUAGAUAUCGGGAGGAACACCAGUGGCGAAGGCGGCCUACUGGGCACCAACUGACGCUGAGGCUCGAAAGUGUGGGUAGCAAACAGGAUUAGAUACCCUGGUAGUCCAAGGGCGAAUUC
This 422-nucleotide ribosomal RNA is filed under the name uncultured bacterium. RNAcentral's name for it is "SSU rRNA". It matches the Rfam family "Bacterial small subunit ribosomal RNA", at positions 370 to 808 of the family's 1533-position model. The record is from RNAcentral.